UAUAAGAAGCUUAACUGAUUCGUGUUUGUAGGACACUGGGACAUGGCAAUACGUAUGUGGAUAUGGAGAUACACAUAUGUGAAUAUUUGGAUGCAUCUAUGGAUGGAGGGACAAUAAAAGAAUGGAUGCACUUGGCUUUAGCAAGGAGGUCAGUGUUUCCUGCUGCUAAUAGGAAAAAGGCAAUCAGACAGGUCGCCUUAGUUUCUUCAUCACUGGGACGCCUCAUGUUUUAACUCAGCACAUUUCCAGUGGGAUGAAGACAACAG
This is a long non-coding RNA of Aquila chrysaetos chrysaetos, 266 nucleotides long. RefSeq lists it as uncharacterized. The record is from RefSeq and is a predicted model, not a curated record. The transcript has 3 exons. Lineage: Eukaryota; Metazoa; Chordata; Aves; Accipitriformes; Accipitridae.